This 488-nucleotide unclassified non-coding RNA is filed under the name Hevea brasiliensis (rubber tree). The record is from RNAcentral. Lineage: Eukaryota; Viridiplantae; Streptophyta; Magnoliopsida; Malpighiales; Euphorbiaceae.
AACUCAACACCCACUUCUUUCACUGCAGUCAGACGUUCUAUGGUCAGCCUUUUCAGUAAGUGCAGUCGUCCAAGCGGUGGCAAUAAUGUGAUUUGAGGACAAGUGCUCAGCUCCACCUGCACCAUGCUAGUGAAUGAGGCAUCUCCUAGCCACAAUGGGAAUUGCCUUCCCCCAAAUGAUCUAAUUGAAAGGCUUGAUAGACUUUGAUGUGGCCGAAGUGAGUUGAGAACUUGCUCUUCAUCACUCGAGUUUCUGAAAACAGAGGAAAAUUCAUUAGUCCAUUGCAAGACUAAUUCAGUGACACCAAGUUUAUGCUUCAAAUUGGCAGAAUCUGCAUCUCCAAUAUCUACCACAUUCUCUAAACUUGUAAUGUGAAGCUGCCCUUGUAGAUUAGAAAGUUUCUUCAAUUCUGUUAUCCUUCUGUUGCAUUUCCCCACGAUAAACUUAGGCAACAUACAGAGACCAGUCAAAUUACCGAUAUGUGGUGG